Molecule: long non-coding RNA, 2935 nt
Organism: Oncorhynchus tshawytscha (Chinook salmon)
Lineage: Eukaryota; Metazoa; Chordata; Actinopteri; Salmoniformes; Salmonidae
Source: Ensembl
UAAAAAACGAGAACACGCCAGUUAUGUACAAGUGACAAGAUUAUCCUGACUUUCGCUAGCUACUUUCUUUUAUUGUUUUGUAGAAUCUAAAGUGGUAAAAUGUAAUGUGAACAAGUAUUAUUACUAAAAAGAAGCUUUCAUCUCACAACCGAAGGCCCGAGUCAUUACUUUGAAGGUAGUUAUUCUAUAGUUAUCAACUUCAAGGUGGAUGUUGUUGCUAAUAACGAGGUAAAGACAGUUUCAAGUUGGAUAUUCGCGCUUUCAAACCACUUGAGCCACAGACACCAAAUAAUGGUCAUGCUGUUGGAAAAAUUGCGCACCAAUUUGCACAGGUCUUAUUUUCACGAUUUGGACAUUCAUUCACUUUCCAACGCUAAUAAACGUGGAAAUGUGAGCAGCAUUUUGUAUUCUUAGUUGAAUUAGUUAGGGAGCGUAAACAAAGUACAAACCUUUUUUUACAUUAGAAUUUCAAUAGCUCCUUGGUCAUGUGACCUACUUGAUUCAAAUAAGGUUCAGAAUGUCCACUGACUACCCUUCUAUAUUGCACACCCUUUAGGUUGUCAAUUUUCAUCUCACAAAAUUUUACAUUCAUUUUCCAAAAUGUAAAAUGUCAAUAGCUCCUUGGUCAUGUGACUUAAUGACUUCAAACAAGGUUCAGAAUGUCCACUGACUACCCUCCUAUAUUGCACACCCUAUAGUUUGUCCAUUUUCAUCUCACAUGGUUUUACAUUUUUUUAAAAUCAAUGUAUAAUUUCAAUAGCUCCUUGGUCAUGUGACCUACGGACUUCUAACAAGGUUCAGAAUGUCCAAUCUGUGGGCCUACACAUUGCACAUCCUUUAGUUUGUCCAUUUUCAUCUCACAAGAUUUUACAUUAAUAUUUCAAAAUGUAGAAUUUCAAUAGCUCCUUGGUCAUGUGACCUACUGACCUCAAACAAGGUUCAGAAUGUGUACUGACUAUACCUUUUAUAUUGCACAUUCUGAUGUUUGUCUACUUUCAUCUCAUGCUAUUAGACUGAAAUCUGCCAGCUUUGCAGGCCUUCAUUUUACAUGCGUGUAAAAAAACAAACAUUUUUUUAAGUUAACAAAUGUUCCAUACUCGCAAUAACUAUCUUUCACAUGGACACUGUAAAGAUCCGCAAAUGGCUGUAUGUGGUAUGGAUCAAGGACAAGAGAGGUGUUUGAACAGAGGUGCUUAAAGGAAGGCGCACAGUACCUGCAUGAACCAUCAGGCCAAGUGUUUUUGGUUGACCCUGCUGGACAGAAAGAGAAGGAGGAAUCGGAACACGCUGCAUUCAAAUUCAGGUGUUAGUUAUUCCAUUGUACUGGAUCUAAUACAUAUUAGCAUUUUACAUACAUUCAUAAGUGUAAUACGUUUUUAUGACAUACUGUGAAAAACUCUUUUGGCUGCUGGCUCUGUCACUUUAAGACAUGCGCAGAGCAGACUGAAAGGGGAAGGGUAGCUCUUGACUUGAACCACAGGUGUUCUCUGUAUAGAGAGAGUAAUCCAAAAGGCACCGACACACCCCUUGACUUUCAAUUGGCACCGUUGACCUGUAUGUAUUCUCUCCUGAUUGGCUCUGUGGUGCACAGUCUGGCAGUCUGACAAAAGUACCAGAGGUAUGAGGAGAGACAUCCUCCUUUUGUAUUUAUGUGAAAAAAUAUUUCCUAACUCUUUGGAUCCUGUUCUUGGACAGUUAGAAGACCCAAUGCAUCAAUGCAAAAAAAUAAUGAUUACUAAUUACUGUCCAUGAAUAACCUCAACCUUGUGGGUCUGUGGGUAUUUGGGCCAAUAAAGUGCAAACUCAAUUCUACCACUGACUAGUCUCUCAUGCCCCUAUGAAAAGGGACACAGGACAAUAGUUUUUAAUCUAAACCAGACCUUUUUUACUGGAGUACACUAACCCCUAAUUGGGGCUCUUUUCUUGACACACAGUAGCAGUUUACCAAAUAAGAAGUCAAAAAGAUCAAAAAGUAGAUCGUUGUAAGGGUGUAAUACAUCCUGUGCUGGUCACAUUGUCAUAUCCAUUCUGGAUUCUGGGUGGUAAAAUCAUAGCUGAAAAAUGCCUCUGUGUGUGUAUACAUUUUCCCCCAAGACAGAACUGCCAAAGGGGGUGGAGUUGCAAUCUACUGCAGAGUUCUGUCAUGCUAUCCAGGUCUGUGCCCUACUUUUAAAAAUCCACCUUUCCAGAAAUAAGUCUCUCACUGUUGCCGCUUGUUACAGACCCCCCUCAGCCCACAGCUGCGCCCUGGACACCAUAUGUGAAUGAAUUGCCCCCCAUUUAUCUUCAGAGUUUGUACUGUUAGGUGACCUAAACUGGGAUAUGCUUAACACCCCGGCCAUCCUACAAUCUAAGCUAGAUGCCCUCAAUCUCACCCAAAUUAUCAUGGAACCUACCAGGUACAACCCCAAAUCUGUACACUUGGGCACCCUCAUAGAUAUCAUCCUGACCAACCUGUCCUCUAAAUACACCUCUGCUGUUUUCAAAAUACAAAAAAAAUACACCUCUGCUGUCUUCCAGGAUCUCAUUGAUCACUGCCUCAUUGCCUGCGUCCCUAAUGGGUCCGCGGUCAAACGACCACCCCUCAUCGUCGUCAAACGGUCCCUAAAACACCAGCGAGCAGGCCUUUCUAACCGACCUGGCCUGGGUAUCCUGGAAAGAUAUUGACCUCAUUCUGUCAGUAGAGGAUGCCUGGUUAUUCUUUAAAAUUGCUUUCCUCACCAUCUUAAAUAAGCAUGCCCCAUUCAAACAAAUGUAGAACAAGGAACAGAUAUAGCCCUUAGUUCACUCCAGACCUGACUGCCCUUGACCAGCACAAAAACAUCCUGUGGCGUACCGCAUUAGCAUUGAAUAGCCACCGCUAUUCGAUGCUAGGGAUGUUAGGAACUUAUCAUCAGACUCAACAGCCUUUGUUUCUCAAAUGACUGCCUCGCCU